UUGUAAGUGUCUAAGGGCGCAUGGUGGAUGCCUUGGCAUCGAGAGCCGAUGAAGGACGUGGGAGGCUGCGAUAUGCCUCGGGGAGCUGUCAACCGAGCGUGGAUCCGAGGAUUUCCGAAUGGGGAAACCCAGCACGAGUGAUGUCGUGCUACCCGCAUCUGAAUAUAUAGGGUGCGGGAGGGAACGCGGGGAAGUGAAACAUCUCAGUACCCGUAGGAGGAGAAAACAAUUGUGAUUCCGCAAGUAGUGGCGAGCGAACGCGGAACAGGCUAAACCGCACGCAUGGGUAACCGGGUAGGGGUUGUGUGUGCGGGGUUGUGGGAGGAUAUGUCUCAGCGCUACCCGGCUGAGAGGCAGUCAGAAAGUGUCGUGGUUAGCGGAAGUGGCCUGGGAUGGUCUGCCGUAGACGGUGAGAGCCCGGUACGCGAAAACCCGGCACCUGCCUAGUAUCAAUUCCCGAGUAGCAGCGGGCCCGUGGAAUCCGCUGUGAAUCCGCCGGGACCACCCGGUAAGCCUAAAUACUCCUCGAUGACCGAUAGCGGAUUAGUACCGUGAGGGAAUGGUGAAAAGUACCCCGGGAGGGGAGUGAAAGAGUACCUGAAACCGUGUGCCUACAAUCCGUCAGAGCCUCCUUUUCCUCUCCGGAGGAGGGUGGUGAUGGCGUGCCUUUUGAAGAAUGAGCCUGCGAGUCAGGGACAUGUCGCAAGGUUAACCCGUGUGGGGUAGCCGCAGCGAAAGCGAGUCUGAAUAGGGCGACCCACACGCGCAUACGCGCGUGUGAAUAGUGGCGUGUUCUGGACCCGAAGCGGAGUGAUCUACCCAUGGCCAGGGUGAAGCGCGGGUAAGACCGCGUGGAGGCCCGAACCCACUUAGGUUGAAGACUGAGGGGAUGAGCUGUGGGUAGGGGUGAAAGGCCAAUCAAACUCCGUGAUAGCUGGUUCUCCCCGAAAUGCAUUUAGGUGCAGCGUUGCGUGGUUCACCGCGGAGGUAGAGCUACUGGAUGGCCGAUGGGCCCUACUAGGUUACUGACGUCAGCCAAACUCCGAAUGCCGUGGUGUAAAGCGUGGCAGUGAGACGGCGGGGGAUAAGCUCCGUACGUCGAAAGGGAAACAGCCCAGAUCGCCGGCUAAGGCCCCCAAGCGUGUGCUAAGUGGGAAAGGAUGUGCAGUCGCAAAGACAACCAGGAGGUUGGCUUAGAAGCAGCCACCCUUGAAAGAGUGCGUAAUAGCUCACUGGUCAAGUGAUUGUGCGCCGAUAAUGUAGCGGGGCUCAAGCACACCGCCGAAGCCGCGGCACAUCCACCUUGUGGUGGGUGUGGGUAGGGGAGCGUCCCUCAUUCAGCGAAGCCACCGGGUGACCGGUGGUGGAGGGUGGGGGAGUGAGAAUGCAGGCAUGAGUAGCGACAAGGCAAGUGAGAACCUUGCCCGCCGAAAGACCAAGGGUUCCUGGGCCAGGCCAGUCCGCCCAGGGUGAGUCGGGACCUAAGGCGAGGCCGACAGGCGUAGUCGAUGGACAACGGGUUGAUAUUCCCGUACCCGUGUGUGGGCGCCCGUGACGAAUCAGCGGUACUAACCACCCAAAACCGGAUCGAUCACUCCCCUUCGGGGGUGUGGAGUUCUGGGGCUGCGUGGGAACUUCGCUGGUAGUAGUCAAGCGAAGGGGUGACGCAGGAAGGUAGCCGUACCAGUCAGUGGUAACACUGGGGCAAGCCGGUAGGGAGAGCGAUAGGCAAAUCCGUCGCUCACUAAUCCUGAGAGGUGACGCAUAGCCGGUUGAGGCGAAUUCGGUGAUCCUCUGCUGCCAAGAAAAGCCUCUAGCGAGCACACACACGGCCCGUACCCCAAACCGACACAGGUGGUCAGGUAGAGCA
This 1870-nucleotide ribosomal RNA is filed under the name Mycobacterium tuberculosis. Its description in RNAcentral is "bacterial LSU rRNA". It matches the Rfam family "Bacterial large subunit ribosomal RNA", at positions 1 to 1678 of the family's 2925-position model. The record is from RNAcentral. Lineage: Bacteria; Bacillati; Actinomycetota; Actinomycetes; Mycobacteriales; Mycobacteriaceae.